Lathyrus oleraceus (garden pea) is the source of this 1548-nucleotide long non-coding RNA. RefSeq lists it as uncharacterized. Lineage: Eukaryota; Viridiplantae; Streptophyta; Magnoliopsida; Fabales; Fabaceae. The transcript is spliced from 5 exons. The record is from RefSeq and is a predicted model, not a curated record.
UUGGUGAAUGUUUUCUUCCCUCUGUUUUCAUGUGAAUCCUCCAAGUUUGGAAGUGGGGAAGACGUCCUGCGGGUAACCCUUUCACUUCGUUUUCUUCUUUGUUCCUUCUACCAAUUUGGAGCUUUCGUCUAUCCAGAUCCCAACGAUCCUUCACGCAGUUUUUUAAGCGAUUCACGGUCGUGGGUGCUCACCGAGGGGUUCAGUCCGACUACCUCAUAGUUUCGGCGAGAAACUCUGAAUAGUUUUUGUGACUUGGACUUUGAGGAAUUCAGGUAAGGCUUUUCGGCAGAGUAACAGUAGGGUCCCCCUCUCUAGAUGACUCUCAACCUUUAUUUAUAGAGUCUUCUCCUCGGAUCCUCAAAUCAUGAGCUGUCAAUAUCUAUCCAAAAUCAUUCCGUUAGGAGAGAAUUUUCUCAGAGAUUUGGUGGGGACCAGGGCGAUUGUCACAGGUAAAUUUCUCUUUGUCUGUAGUGUAGCCUUCCAGUCUUCUAGAAACUGUGGUCCCUCAUUUGAUGCAGGUGGCAAGGUGAGAUUGUUUUGUUGGUAAGAUCCCCCAAAGAAUGCGUGACCAUUUUGUGUUGAAUCUUUUAUUAAGCUCUUACUGCUGUAACUCUUAUUUUUGUUGCGGUAAGAAACUUAUUUUCACUGUCAUGUACAUUCAAACUUUUAAAUGACGUUCAAUUCAAAAAGACUCUAUUAUGCUGUCAUGUGUUUUUCAGCUCACAUUUUCAACCUGUGCUUGUCGUAGGUAUAAAGGGCAACAAGAUAUCCGCUCAAUUUCGAUUUGGUUUGGAAAAGUUAUGUUGUGAAUCCGGGGUCUACAUUGCUCUGAUGUCUUGGAUUUGGAGGUGAAACAGAAAGACUUGCAUGCUUUGGCUUGCGUUUUGGACUUUUGGAGAUGAGAGUGUGAGCAUUAUUGUUUUAAUGCAGAGUGGCCUUUGUUGACUGAUAUAUCAGGGCGGUUUUGGUGCUGUUAUGCUGACAUAAGUUGGCGGGUAACUUUAAGUUCCACGAUUUAACUUAUGUUUUGAAAGUAGGAGCAGCGACUGGUUUUGAAAGUGCAUCAUCUACCUUCUCCGCAGGAGGUUUCGGCAUUGAUAACAAGCUUGGACUGAUAGCAUGUUUGGAUCGUGCAUAAGUUCCCUAAUUGUGUGUGUUCCUGAGUCCGUUUGAAUCAAUUGGAGAAAUCAUGAAUGCAUUUAUUUGUAUGGCAUGUUGUUGGCUUUUGGACUCUGUAGAUUGCAUCAUGCUGUUAGAAGGUACCCUGCAGGCUUUAGAACGAACUUGUAACAGUCUGUAGAAAUAAGUGCAGGGAAAAGCCGGGCAAGCAUCAUGGCAAAGGGAUAUGUACUUUCCAAUUUGAAGCUUAUUCUUGUCGUUUUGACUUGAUUGUAAUGUAAUCUUAGAUCAUAAGGUUGGGACUUGCGUGAACCAUGAAGUUUAACCAUACAAAUUGUAAAUUUAUGCUCGUAUUAAUAAAACUUAGGAACAUCAUGCCCAUUAAAGCAUGGUCUUGUAAAUCCAAGUUAAUGAUCUUUAUUCAAAUGA